RNAcentral lists this ribosomal RNA (305 nucleotides) under uncultured bacterium. RNAcentral describes it as "bacterial SSU rRNA". It matches the Rfam family "Bacterial small subunit ribosomal RNA", at positions 333 to 655 of the family's 1533-position model. The record is from RNAcentral.
UUUUGCCUACGUGGGGCAGCAGUGGGGGAUAUCGCACAAUGGGGGAAACCCUGAUGCAGCGACGCCGCGUGAGCGAUGAAGUAUUUCGGUAUGUAAAGCUCUCUCAGCAGGGAAGAAAAUGACGGUACCUGACUAAGAAGCCCCGGCUAACUACGUGCCAGCAGCCGCGGUAAUACGUAGGGGGCAAGCGUUAUCCGGAUUUACUGGGUGUAAAGGGAGCGUAGACGGCAGUGCAAGUCUGAAGUGAAAGGCAAGGGCUCAACCCUUGGACUGCUUUGGAAACUGUGCUGCUGGAGUGUCGGAGG